GACGAACGCUGGCGGCGUGCUUGACACAUGCAAGUCGAGCGGUAAGGCUCCUUCGGGAGUACACGAGCGGCGAACGGGUGAGUAACACGUGAGCAAUCUGCCCUUCUCAUCGGAAUAACACUUGGAAACGAUGGCUACUGCCGAAUACGAAUUCCUUUCGCAUGUCAGGAAUUGGAAAGCUCCGGCGGAGAGGGAUGAGCUCGCGGCCUACCAGCUUGUUGGUCAGGUAAUGGCUCACCAAAGCGACGACGGGUAGCCGGCCUGAGAGGGUGACCGGCCACACUGGGACUGAGACACGGCCCAGACUCCUACGGGAGGCAGCAGUGGGGAAUAUUGGACAAUGGGCGAAAGCCUGAUCCAGCAACGCCGCGUGAGGGAUGACGGCCUUCGGGUUGUAAACCUCUUUCAGCAGGGACGAAGCGAAAGUGACGGUACCUGCAGAAGAAGGACCGGCCAACUACGUGCCAGCCGCCGCCGUA
This 479-nucleotide ribosomal RNA is filed under the name uncultured bacterium. RNAcentral describes it as "partial 16S ribosomal RNA". It matches the Rfam family "Bacterial small subunit ribosomal RNA", at positions 28 to 522 of the family's 1533-position model. The record is from RNAcentral.